AAAGGCGUAAUGAAAGUGAAGGUUCACCUUGCGCGAACCGAGGGAGGAUGGACGGUCCUUCGAGAUCGUCCCGCACUCCCUGGGCGUCUCGUUCUCAUUGCGAGAAGAGGCGCACCAAGAGCGUACACGCUGGGACCCGAAAGAUGGUGAACUAUGCCUGGUCAGGACGAAGUCAGGGGAAACCCUGAUGGAGGUCCGUAGCGAUUCUGACGUGCAAAUCGAUCGUCGGAACUGGGUAUAGGGGCGAAAGACUAAUCGAACCAUCUAGUAGCUGGUUCCCUCCGAAGUUUCCCUCAGGAUAGCUGGCGCUCGUCUCGUACGAGUCUCAUUCGGUAAAGCGAAUGAUUAGAGGCAUUGGGGUCGAAACGGCCUCAACCUAUUCUCAAACUUUAAAUGGGUGAGAUCUCCGGCUUGCUUGAACUAUGAAGCCGCGAGAUAUCGGAUCAGAGUGCCAAGUGGGCCACUUUUGGUAAGCAGAACUGGCGCUGUGGGAUGAACCAAACGCCGAGUUAAAGCGCCUAAAUCGACGCUUAUGGGA
Molecule: ribosomal RNA, 538 nt
Filed under: Trypoxylus dichotomus
Lineage: Eukaryota; Metazoa; Arthropoda; Insecta; Coleoptera; Scarabaeidae
Description: eukaryotic LSU rRNA
Rfam family: Eukaryotic large subunit ribosomal RNA
Source: RNAcentral